CAGCAGUCGCCGCGGUAAAACGUAGGUGGCAAGCGUUGUCCGGAAUUAUUGGGCGUAAAGGGCUCGCAGGCGGUUUCUUAAGUCUGAUGUGAAAGCCCCCGGCUCAACCGGGGAGGGUCAUUGGAAACUGGGAAACUUGAGUGCAGAAGAGGAGAGUGGAAUUCCACGUGUAGCGGUGAAAUGCGUAGAGAUGUGGAGGAACACCAGUGGCGAAGGCGACUCUCUGGUCUGUAACUGACGCUGAGGAGCGAAAGCGUGGGGAGCGAACGGGAUUAGAUACCCCUGUAGUCCCUGUCUCUUAUAC
Molecule: ribosomal RNA, 304 nt
Filed under: uncultured bacterium
Lineage: Bacteria
Description: partial 16S ribosomal RNA
Rfam family: Bacterial small subunit ribosomal RNA
Source: RNAcentral